GUACUGGAGACUAUGGAGGUGAUGAUCUAGGAGACGCCCAUACUUUAUGUGCAAACCAAGCUCAAAUAGACGUAACUUCCUUCUACGGGUAUACAUUAUGAUGUCAUGACUGUCGUUGGAGAUCUUGACGUGCCCUCGCCUGUCCGGGACCUUGUCUUGAUGGGUCCAUCGGCUGUCUUGCAUUCGUUGCCCACUGUUUCGGAUGUGGCUCCGAAUGUUGAUGGGGCUGUGUGCCUUCUUGAUGGUUCCCAUCGGGAGGUGGUUCGUUGGGAUAUUGUUCGUGCGGGAUUGUCCCGUAGUAAUGGCAAGAGGAACCUUGCGGCCAGACAUGGCGCAUUACUGAAGUGUACUGGAAAUUGGAUAAAUGCUGCUGGGGUUGUUUGUGCCAGGGACGAC
Molecule: long non-coding RNA, 396 nt
Filed under: Androctonus crassicauda
Lineage: Eukaryota; Metazoa; Arthropoda; Arachnida; Scorpiones; Buthidae
Source: RNAcentral